Molecule: microRNA, 22 nt
Filed under: Eptatretus burgeri (inshore hagfish)
Lineage: Eukaryota; Metazoa; Chordata; Myxini; Myxiniformes; Myxinidae
Also listed under: 2 other names
Description: Ebu-Mir-30-P1g_3p* (star (passenger))
Source: RNAcentral
CUUUCAGUCUGAUGUUUGCUGC